This 970-nucleotide small RNA is filed under the name Histoplasma capsulatum var. duboisii H88. RNAcentral describes it as "Histoplasma capsulatum H88 hypothetical RNA". The record is from RNAcentral. Lineage: Eukaryota; Fungi; Ascomycota; Eurotiomycetes; Onygenales; Ajellomycetaceae.
GACCAUCAGAAUCAUGCAAUGUUGAUAUCGUGUUUACGCCGUGGACCGUAACAAAAAGGGGAGCCCAAAUCUCGUCGAUUGCCUGGAAUUUUCAAAUUCGAACAACCCAAUCGAAAAUCAUCGGCCCGUACGAAUCUAUCUAGUAUUGCGCAAACAGGAAUCUCAAGUCCAAAUUUCUCCCACAUUGCUAAGCGGAAAUAUGGGAAUGAGGGAUGUGGACGAGAGGGUGUUGUUAAACAGGGAGAGAUUAGGCAUACUUACACCUAUAGCAAUGUGGCCCAAACGCAUUAACCCUACGAGAGCCUGAAAAAAAGCAGUCAUAUUUACGAACGACCAGGCUCCCACAUGACGUUUCAAGUCCCUUUUGAAGACCUAGAUUAUCUUCUUUUACGAUCGCAUUGCACACCGUGGCCUUGGCUUUGUUAUUCCUAUUCGCCCGUUCUGCUAGAUAUCAGAAUACUAUGUAUUAAAAAAACAAAAGUCAAAAUGAUGGACGACACGUAAAAAUCCGUGGAGGAACUACGCAGCAAAAAUAUCUGCAUCAAAAAUCUUCUGUGGGCUAGUUCUUGUCUUUUAAUCUUGUUUUCCCGCCUCCAUUUCUUCUUCUGUCAAAUAUCCACCUUUUACAUCUGGAAAAGCAGGAUUGCGCGCCUCUAUCUAUAGGGCUAGACGAAGAUCCGUCGGACGCCAUGAGCGAUGGAGGCGUUUUGAGUGGCUUUGUGACUUCCUGCACUCCUUUCCAUUACUUCCGAAGGGAGAAAUGGAAUGAUCUGGGCGGGUGCUUGUCCUAGCAUGGGACAUAAAUUAUAUCUAUAUUUAUAUGUAUAUAUGUAUGUAGGCAGGGACUCGAAGAAGCUGUGGCUCCAGUCAUUAAGCACAUCUCCCAGAAUAGCAUACCUUUCUCGGGCUGACUACUAGUUAACAACAGUGAUACAAGGAGAACAUCUAAUUGGCAGAGUAAAAAUCAGGA